GCUUCAGUACGGUUUCGUGCGCGAAGGUGAGAAUACCUGUACCUGUUGGAUGAGUGCGCGCGAUUUGUUGCCGAGUCCAUCGUGCGCGAAGACACGCGAGUUUUGCUGGUUUGAAUGUGUAGUGUUGUCACCUGAUGACGACGGGAGGACGUUUAUCAUUAUUGCGCGGACUUUCCUUUGUGGGUGAACGAUCCGCCAGCGCGAAGUUGCGUGUGAAUUAUUGAUUUUUGUUUUCGGUACGGGCUUAUUCGAUGCUUUUUCUGUGUUUGCGGAAGGUGAAAGGUGGACCUCGGAAACCUGUUUGCAACCUUUUUGUGGAUUAGUCUAGGUGGAAGAAGAAGAAUUUGAAGGGAAGUGCGUCAAGUGAUGUCAUCGUGGGAGACCUCCUAGAUGGACAUUUGAAUGGUUGAAGUACGCCGAAAAUAGAAUCGAAGUAACGAACGGGAAGAAAUCGAUGCAAUAGUUCAGUGAUGUAAGACAAAGAAGAACCUCCAUAAAAGGUGAAUAUAAAUUCGAUAUCGAUGAAUGCCAAUCGAAUGCUUAUUAGGUGAUUAUCCCCAUUUUCUACUGGAAUUUGUGACGCUUUUUUUUUUGUUUGUGAAUCGAAAUCUAUUUCGGGUGGUUUUAAUGACCUGAAGCUCUUCAGGUUUGGAAAAACGAGAAACCAUUUCAGUCAGUUUGUGAUUCAGUUUCUAAACGAAGAAAGAAGAAUUUUGAUUGUGCCGAACACCGUUAGUCGAAGAAAAAUAUUUCGUUCGUGCCGGGUGGAGAUAAAAAAAAACAACCAACGAAAGAGAUGCUGUAAGUCCGACAACGAAACGAAACGUUUUCAAAAGUGUGGUAAAAAUGCAACAGCGGAGCGCGCUUUCUCUGAGGAACAACAACACAUGUUUGUGAAUCAACAGCAGCCAGCGGGAUUAUCACAGCAGUCGUCGUUGUCGGCAGCAGCGGCACGGUGGGCCUAAUCUAAGCCGAGCAGAGCUAAUCUAAGAUCUUACCCAGAGUACCGCUCGAUCGACCCCCCAUCAUCAUCGUAUCGCUGCACGCGUAGAGAGGACAAUGACCAUUCAGAAUUCUUCUCGCGCGGUGCUCCACAUUCAACAAGACCCACUCGGAUCGCGGCCUAUAAUUUCAAUUAAAUCUCAACCAGCAAUGGUUCAUGCGCUUUGAGAGCUCAGAGUUCUUCUAAAUUCCUCCAGCCUCGUCAAGGUCAAGUUUGGCCAGUUGACUGUGCCCGGUGCCGCACGCAGUCAGUGGUGAUGAAAACGGAUGAUUGAGCAAAAAUUAAGUACCACCAUCGUCGUUGUUCGUUGUUGAGUCUAACCUCCUCGGUUUGGUGGGUCGUUAAAUAAAGUGAAACUUGCCAAGAGUUACUCGACGCGAAGUGUGUAUGCAAAAGUGUGUAGGUGCGAUUCACUAUUAUACCCUCUGUGCAAAGGUGAAAAUAAUAAUUGGCAACAAAGAAUCAAAUGAAGUGUGAUCAACAGUGAGUGAUUGAUUCGAAGAAAAAAGGGUGUAUACGGAAGAAGUUGCCAAGUCUGGACAACUCGAAGUUGGUUGUGUGUCGUGAACAAAAGAUUUGAACGCCGCGCCGCACCGGCUGGAUUACGGGAAGGAUGCUGGGUAACAGCGGUUGUGAUGCGAAUCUGUGCUAACUGGGUGUGUUUCGCAAUUUUGAGUGAUUUGAAUGGAUGACUAGGAGACGAAGAAACGAGCUUGGUGUAUUGGUUUUUGGUGCUGCUUUGAAGAUUUAAGUGUGAUAAGUGCGAAGAAGGAAGUGUAAAUACCUGGUAGCAGAAUCAGUGGAAGCGGCUUGCAAAUUGGAUUAACCUCAAUUGGAUGUUUACUUUGUGGAUUAUGGCCGGUUUCUAUCAAACUACAAUCAUGAGACCCCACGCCGCUGCCCACUCCCCGGAGGGAGCUGCUGUAGCCACCGAAAAUGUAUUCUACGCACAGCACGAGUCAAACGCAGGCUUCGGCCACCAUUGAGAAGCGCACCACCGACAAACAGUCAAGGUUCAUCCAACGAUUUUACCUUUUUGGAACAAACCCCAACUCUAGCACUCCACGAUCGUGCAGCGCUCCAACCUCUCCCACAUCCCCAGAACCACCCCCAUCCCCUCUGAAACACCCAAAAAAUUCGAAACCCUCCACUGACAGCGAAGACGAUCUCCCCUUCCACCCACUUCCCCAGCAGCAUUACAGUGUUCAACGACUGCGACAGUUCUGGAACAACCGGCUCAGUCUCAGUUCACCCAACUCCUCCCAAACAAGUGAAACUGCCCUCUCGCGGAAGCUCAAAAGUGUCACCCUUAGCCCGUCAAAUACCAGUCGGAAACCUUCCACACCAGAAUUUCUCCGCCGAAACGGUUCCACCCGAGGUUCCGCAUCCCGGCGAAACGUCGUCCGCACCAGCCUAGUUCCUCUGUACUCCAAAACUGGGAGUCCAAAAGCGAGUCGCCAUUCGGACCCUUCCAAUGAUAGCUCCACCCAGAAGCGAUCCAGCGUAGUACUGAGUCCCGUCAAGGAUCUCAAAAAAGAGAAACGAUCCUGCCUGGAGCGGGUCGGGUGCAAUGCUGGAUUCCCGCUGGUGACGGCAUCGGCCACUGGAGGACGCAUCAACUGGGCUAGGCGUGUUGAACUGCUUGGAAUUCGGCUGAACCAAGACGACACCAAAAUGCCAAUCAAGAUGGAGAACUAUGUGAACAACUUCAUUGAAGUUGACAUCCAGAAUGAACCUCCCUCGUCACCGCCUCCGGACAUUCCUGCGGAGGAAUCUCCCAAAGAGGAUACGCCUGAACCAACGACAUCCCCUGAGAAACCUCCCGAGGAGUCUUCGCAGCCAAAGCUGGAUAUGAGAGAUUCUCUCGAGAGUAAGAAAAGCGUUAGUUCAACGGACUCGCAGUCUCUCGGACGAAGACAUGGAACUCCAACGCGAAAGGUGAGUUUCCGAACGACCACUUCGCCGUACAACCGCAAACUACUCCAAGCCAAAGAGAACAAGGUGGCGGCCCUGACAAACAAGUUCAACAAGAUGUGUCAGCAGGACGCCGGCAUCUUGGAGGAACUUCGUAAACGGGGUGGAUUGGUUCACAAAUCCGGAAGUCACGUGUACAAGGUGGUUGAUGGCGAAGGUAGUGUACGGAAGAAGCUCAACGUGAGCAGUAGCACUCGAACGGACGAAAGUUCGGACGAUGUCUCGGUCGGUAGCAAAGGUUCGUAUCGGAAGGCUGGGGUGAAGAAACGUCCCAGUCUGAGAAAGAACCUGUAUCGCAGGCCUGAAUGGGAAGCGGCAAACAGGACAUCGCUCUGCGUGAAAGAAGCCCUGGAGAUAUUCGAACCGAAUGGUCAUCGCCCAGUUGUUCGACCGCAGAUGGAUAGGAAACCUCCUGCAGGUCGCACCAAACCCAAGGUUCCGGACAAAAGCGACCAGGUAAUCAGGAAGACUAGGGAGCUGAAGAAUAAGAGAGCGAUUCAAAUCGAUUCCAACAGUUGUGAUAGCAGCGCAGUGAGGGAGCAAGCAAUAGACAAGGUGCCAAAUAGUAUUAGCCAAGAUAGUAUUAGCAACGAAGAGCGAAGCGAAGUAGAUAGUAAUACUCAAGUUGUGGAGGAAGUGACAAGGGUAGAGGUGGUAAUAGAUAAACCUGUCGAGGCAGAUAAACCUGAGAAAGUGACUGACGAAUACUCCGUGGUGAAGAAGAAGUUUGACAUUAGUCAUUACGGAACCGUGAAGCAGAAGAAAGAUAAAAAAGAAAAUUCGGCAAAAGAGCAGACAACUCUUCCACUGAAGCAAAAAAGCGCUGUUCAGAGAAUCUACGAGAAGUUUACAUUCCGAUCGGCCAAGAAGAUUCACUUAAGUAGCCCCGAGCGAACUUCCAGCGAAUCGCAGCUCAACUCCAGCUCGGACACUGAUGAUCGUCUACAUUUUGUUGUUGACAACAAGCUUACGCGGAAGAACUUUGUGUCUUCUAUUGAGAUACCCACGAUUCACAUCGAAGAAUCGCAGGAGAGUAGCUCUGAUCCGUCAGAUCGCAAGAUCGUAGACGCCAUCAAAUCUCUUACCGUAAAGAUCGACAACCUGUCCAGGAGUUUCAAUGAUCUAACGAUCAAUGAUCCCGAACCGGAACCCGAUUCAGAACCUGCCGUCCAACCAAACACUUCCUUCCUGUUCCGAAGCAUGUCGAAGAUAGGUACGGGAACCGAAACAGCGAUUAGUCAGUUGAACAUCGUCCAAGCCGUCAACACUGUGGUGAUCAACAAAUCCAUUUCCAUGGAUGACCAUCACUUCCCCUGUCGAGCGAACCUUGAACGUCUAAGUCUGAACGAAACUAUCCCCGUAGUAAUGGUAAGUAAGGCAAUCAGUGCCUCCGAAAACGAUUACGAACUGGUGUCCAGGGUUGAGUCUCCUCGAAGAUCAUCGGAAGGUUCAACCUGCUCCUUCCGCGGCAGUACCAUGAGCAUCGAUAUCAUGGGCCUGAACGCCAACAUCGACUCCUUCCUGUACAAGGCGAAGAACGUCGAGAGUGCAACAACAAUCGAUCUUCCAACCGUCCAUACCCCGAUUCAACCCGACACCAGCAGCAUCAAUAGCUACGAAUCUUUCGAAAAUUACGAAUCCAUCGAGCGAACCAGUAGUCCGAAAGAAGAGGACACCUACGAAGUGUGCAAUCCACCGGAACCUCUGCCUCCACGAAACGAUACCAAAUCACCGAACGAUCUGGCUCUGCCACAACCAAAACGAAACCUCACCGGAUCUCCAAAGUUCUUGCCAAAAAUGCAGCCGACCUACCAAUCGAACUACGAGAAGAUCAAAUACGACCAGACGCCUCCAAGACCCCCAAAACCGGAGGAAGUCCCUCUGCCACCUCGCAACCCCGUUCCCAUGGAGCUCAACAGCAUCCCUCGCGAGCCGCCCACUUCCACAUCCCCAGCGCUCUCCGACGAACCGAUCUACGAAGAGAACAUCUACGAUACGAUCAAGAGCUCGGACGGCCUAGAUUACGACGAACCGAACGGCAGUGCCGAAUCCGCUGUGAUCAAGCGCCCGAAGCACAAUCUUCCCCCCGCGGAUACCCUAUCGCUGAUGUCCUCCAACUGUUACGAAUCGAUCGGAUCCAAGCUGACGGUGGUGGACUUCCUGAGGCAUGGAGGAAUGACACUUCCGCGAAUGGGAUCUAUUUCGACGCUAGCUUCCGAUCAGAUUACCAACAGCCUGUACGGGUGCAAUACGAACGGUGGGCCAAGUUUGACUCCGCCGAGCGAACGGGGUAGCGAUACCAGCAAUAGCGCCGAGUGGACCGAUAUUUCCGACGACGAGGAUGAGGACGAAGCCGGCAAUGGGAGAAGCAACUUUAUUAUUGUUCGGAAGCGGAAUAAGGCACACCAGACGCCCGUCUGGUCCCGGAAGGUUCGCAACAAGUUGGUGUCACAACAACAGCAGCAGCUGCAGCAGACGGAACAAGGACUGCCCAAACUUGAUGAUGAUUCCGAUCAUGUUUACGAAUCGCUGGAGUCGCACGGGCAUUCACGUAUCAGCACACCCUCAGUUGGCUCAGCCGGCGUUCAGAACCGACGAAUACCACCUCCACCGCCUUCGUUCCACUUAAGCGAUACCACCGCCACAACCACAACAUCCAGCAGUCCUCAACCGAACUCUAUCAAUCCUCAACGAUCACCGAUCGGGCACAUCGAUGAAACCUGCCCCGUCGACUCGAUCGAUUCCGACUCGUUCGACAGUGACGAAAGCGACGAAGAUCGCCGAAACGACACCUACUUGCAUCCGAACGACAUCAACAGCGCCAAACAGCUGCCGGAUCCACCGCCCUCCAACAACCAGAUGUACGCCCUGAUGCAGAAAAUCCGAAACAUCGGGACGCUCUCCAAGUCCGAACUCGCCAAAGGGUUCAACAAAUUUUCCAAAAAGAAAAUCAGUUCUUCCAAGUCACCAAAGAUCUUUACCGGGGAAAAUCUGACCUUCCCGUCCGGACCGGAAGACGGUAGUGCCGUUAACUAUGAAAACACUCCGCUUCCGAAAACGCCCAAGCAGUCCAAAUCCAAAUCGUUCAAACUGCCACUCCAGCUCGGAUCAUCCAGCAAAGCCUCGUCCGAUGACUACGAAAACACCGAUUUCCACCAACCCGUCACCCCGACGUCGGUCUCGCCCAACGGAUCCGCCCUCGCAUCUAGUCCCGCUUCGGAACAAGCGGACCGAUCCAUUCUGGCCAGUAUCAGCAACAGCGACUCCAGCAACGUUUCGACCUUCCGCAAAAAGACCAAAACCGGAAAAUCCCUUCGCUCCAAGCUUCGCAAGAGCCUCCAGUCGGACUCUAGUCUCCACAUCAACAGUUCGUUCAACGGCUCCCGCAGUACGUUCUACGUAACGGACUCGCUGGACGUCGACUCAGGGAUAUUCAACGGCAGCGAACCGAACAGCUCCUCUUCGAAUCUGAACGUGGCCUCCGUCGGGAAGGACACUCCCUCGCCGCAGAAGCACGCCUCCCACAAAACCCCGGACGCCGACCGGAGGAAGUCGAUGAUCGGCGGGGGCAGCCCAGCUAGUCGACCUACCAUUCCGCCGCCACCGCCACCCGUCAGCGCAUCCGUCGGCGUCGGCGCCGGCGACAAAAAGUUCCUGAAGAACCGGAAGCUGGGUGCCACCUCGUGGUACGCCGAAUGCGGUGUGUUCAAGGCGGACUCCCUCAAGCAGGCCUCGUUCGAGAACGAACUGAAGAGCAAGGAGCGCAGUACGACGUCCUGGUACGCCGAGGCUGGGCUGUACCAAACCAGUGAUGUGUCCGUGGCAAGCUCCAGCGAAAGUUCCGGUGUGUCGACCGGUGGCGAAGGCGGCGGAGAGGACGACCACUCGCACAGUAUGUUCGUGAACGAACCACUCUACCAGAUCUACAACGCGGCCAAGUUGGAAUCGCUAACGCGGGACAUCGAUGCGGAAAUUACCGGCGACGGCGACACCGAACUGUAUGACGACGGCUACGAGAAGAUCUCCGACCGGCGAAAGAGUACGGGUGGUGGUGGUGGUGGUGGUGCCGGCUCUGGGAGUGACGAGGAUGUGGUUGGACGGAAGCUGCGACCCAGUGCGUUCGAGCUGAUCGAGCCCAACGUGGGAAAGCUGCGAACCCUCUGGUGUGAGAUUCCCGAGGUGAUCAAUUCGGAGAUUUUGCUGACCCUAACUCCAACGGAGAAACGCCUCCAGGAGGCCAAGUUCGAGAUUCUCACAUCGGAAGCGUCCUACCUGAAAUCGCUCAAUCUGCUCAAAACCCACUUCAUCAACCAUCCGGCCUUCCGGGACGUCAAGGUUCUGACGUCGUCCGAGCGCAAAACGCUCUUCUCCAACAUUAUCCCGGUGCAGGAGUGUUCCGAUCGGUUACUCUGCGAUCUGGAGAACUGCUGGCAGGACAACAUCAUGCUCCUGGGUCUCAGUCACAGUAUCUACAAGCACGCCGAGAAGCACUUCCACGUGUACGUCAACUAUUGCGAACACCAGGCGAAAAUCGAUCGAACGUUGAAGAACCUCAAGGCGAACAAGACCGAGUUCACCAAAACUCUGCUGGAGCUGGAAUCGGACCCAAUUUGCUGUGGCCUUAGCCUAUCGUCCUUCCUGAUGCUCCCGAUGCAGCGGAUAACUCGAAUGCGCCUACUCCUAGACGCCGUCCUCCAGCGGCUCAAAUCCGAUGACGACGAGUUCAUCAGCUGGGAGAAGACCUUCGUGCUGAUCAACCAGAUCCUAAAACAGUGCAACGACGCGGCCCACCGGAGCGAGCAGAUGUACGAGAUGGAGAUGAUCUCGCGGCAGAUUGAGUUCCCGUCGCACAUCCGACCGCUGGCCAUCGUCCCCUGUGGCAUCGGGCCACCCGGCAGCGUGAUGCGCAAGCUAGAGAAGAAGGGCGAACUAGUGCACUUGCUGUGGCGCGGAGACGACGCCAAGCUCACCUUCGGCAAGAAGUUCAGCAAGAGCAACAUCUACGCUUUCCUGUUUACCGAUCUGAUUGUGCUGACCAAGAAGAAGGGUGACGAAACCUUCCUAGUCACGGACUACUGUCCACGGGCCCUGCUGACGGUCAACUCCGGCGACAUUGUGCCCCAGCUGCCGACCAAGGAGAUGCAGGCCAUCGGGAAGCACCUGAUCAUCAUGACGCUGCUGGAGAACCACGAGGGAAAGACUAUCGAGAUGAUCAUCAGUUGCCCCUCGGAAACGGAACGGGAGCGGUGGCUCAAAGUGACCGAGCCCCUAUCGUCGGAAAACCCGGACGAAAAAAUCUACGAACAGUGGGACUGCCCCCAGGUGGUUGCAAUCCACCCCUACCAGGCACUGCAACCGGACGAACUCGAUCUGGACAUCACGGAAGUGGUCAACGUGCAUCGGAAAAUGGCUGACGGGUGGUACGAAGGCGAACGGAUCCGGGACGGUGCGGUCGGAUGGUUCCCCAGCAACUACACCAAGGAGAUCCCGUCGGCGCACGUCCGGGCCAAGCACAUCAAACAGCGCCACGUGCUCCUCUCGUACACGUCCAAGUAUAUCGAUACGACGACGCGGACCCUGCAGCACAGUAAAAAGUGAAGCAGCCGAACAAUAAGUGGCGACUUAACUGCAUGCAAUUAUUAGUUUUUUAUGCGUAACACAGUGUUUUUGAAAUCGAUAGCAGAGAUCUUAGUUAGAACCUAAGGCCUACACGUAGUUAGCCUCUGUUAGUUAGGUAUACCUCCUGUUUGUUUCAUUUCUGUCUGUAAUCACUGAUUAUGACUCCGAUGUAAAAAUUUGUUGAAUGCCUUGUUUGAGUGUGCCUUUUUUGUGUGUUGUAAAUCUUAAAAGUGUUUAAAUUAUUACGCUAUUGAAUCGCUAACCGUCUCCACUUGUAAACUGAAUAGUGUACCCCCGAUAGUUAGAACUUUUUUCUGUGUAUGUAUUAUAGGACGAAUCCGUGUAGAAAACUAAAUCUGUGUAUAACUGAGUAUGUUUUGAGCAAUAACUGGAGUGCGAUGAUUGUAUGUCGUCUUGCAAAGUAUUAUAAAUAAAAGUAAUAAUUAUUUGUUA
This is an RNA transcript of Aedes albopictus (Asian tiger mosquito), 9049 nucleotides long. RefSeq lists it as uncharacterized. NCBI's taxonomy places the organism in Eukaryota, Metazoa, Arthropoda, Insecta, Diptera, Culicidae. The record is from RefSeq and is a predicted model, not a curated record. The transcript has 10 exons.